RNAcentral lists this non-coding RNA (41 nucleotides) under Prorocentrum micans. Lineage: Eukaryota; Dinophyceae; Prorocentrales; Prorocentraceae. The record is from RNAcentral.
UUUUUUUUUUUUUUUUUUUUUUUUUAUCUUUGAUUUUACUA